GACGAACGCUGGCGGCGUGCCUAAUACAUGCAAGUUGAGCGCUGAAGGUUGGUACUUGUACCAACUGGAUGAGCAGCGAACGGGUGAGUAACGCGUGGGGAAUCUGCCUUGGAGCGGGGGACAACAUUUGGAAACGAAUGCUAAUACCGCAUAAAAACUUUAAACACAAGUUUUAAGUUUGAAAGAUGCAAUUGCAUCACUCAAAGAUGAUCCCGCGUUGUAUUAGCUAGUUGGUGAGGUAAAGGCUCACCAAGGCGAUGAUACAUAGCCGACCUGAGAGGGUGAUCGGCCACAUUGGGACUGAGACACGGCCCAAACUCCUACGGGGGGCAGCAGUAGGGAAUCUUCGGCAAUGGACGAAAGUCUGAACGAGCAACGCCGCGUGAGUGAAGAAGGUUUUCGGAUCGUAAAACUCUGUUGGUAGAGAAGAACGUUGGUGAGAGUGGAAAGCUCAUCAAGUGACGGUAACUAACCGGAAAGGGACGGCUAACUACGUG
This 497-nucleotide ribosomal RNA is filed under the name uncultured bacterium. Its description in RNAcentral is "partial 16S ribosomal RNA". It matches the Rfam family "Bacterial small subunit ribosomal RNA", at positions 28 to 507 of the family's 1533-position model. The record is from RNAcentral.